RNAcentral lists this ribosomal RNA (628 nucleotides) under Jarra maculipennis. RNAcentral's name for it is "partial 28S ribosomal RNA". The record is from RNAcentral. Lineage: Eukaryota; Metazoa; Arthropoda; Insecta; Hymenoptera; Braconidae.
CCUGAGAAACCCAAAAGAUCGAAUGGGGAGAUUCAUCGUCAACUCAUUUUGUAUAUGUAUUAGUUAUGAUGUGGGUUACUCUUGUAGUAUUGCUUACACAUACUUUUACAUUUAUUUGCAGAAUGUUGUCGGCGUGCACUUCUCCCCUAGUAGGACAUCGCGACCCGUUGGGUGUCGGUCUACGACCCAAGUUGUAGUCUAUAAUAUUUUAAUAUAUUAAAGACACUUGGUGUUUUCUGACCGGCUGCCCGGCGGUACUCGUACGGUAUUAAGCCGCAAUUAUAUGCGUCCAUAUCCAUCGCAAGCGAGGCUAGUUUCUGGUAGUACGGACCUAGUGCCGUCGCUGGAGCUUGCCAGCUGUUGGUAGUUAUGGUAUUCUAGGACUGGCUAAAAAAUAAUUACCGGUCGGCGAUGCUACUGCUUUGGNUACUUUCNNNNNNNNNNNNNNNACACGGACCAAGGAGUCUAACAUGUACGCGAGUCAUUGGGAUUUUUUUUAAAUUAAACCUAAAGGCGUAAUGAAAGUAAAGGUUGUCCUUGCGUCAACCGAGGGAGGAUAAGUUGUGUUAUGAUACAGCUUCGCACUCCCGGGGCGUCUCAUUCUCAAUACGAGAAGAGGCGCACCUAG